RNAcentral lists this long non-coding RNA (803 nucleotides) under Cricetulus griseus (Chinese hamster). Its description in RNAcentral is "lncRNA (ENSCGRG00015034484.1)". Lineage: Eukaryota; Metazoa; Chordata; Mammalia; Rodentia; Cricetidae. The record is from RNAcentral.
AGCAGAGCGGCUGGGGCCGCUGACGUCACGUCGGAGAGGAAAUGUGAUCCUGGGGUGAAAGGGCGCAGGCGGCUUGACGGCUUCCGUAACGGGUCUGAGGUGGGAAUAAGAAGACGUCCCGGGAAUGAUUGGACGAAAUUGUGCAUCAUGUAUACGAGACAACGGCGGAAAAGCACGCGGUCACCUGUCGCCAGUCGCCUCCAAGUCUGUGUGAGCUUCGAGAAAACGUGGCUCCAGCCGACCGGAUGCUCUUGAAGUUGCAAAGACAGCUUGGGGGCCACAGAUCAAGCCCCGCCCGCGUUUCGGCUCUUUCCAGGAGGUGUUCUUGAACAGCGCUUCGCUCUGAACACCGAGAGCCACCUUAGCAACAGGGAUGUGAAAGAGUGCUAGAGAGAUGGCUCAUUGGUUAGGAGCAUUUUCUGCUCUUCCAGAGGACCCAGGCUCAGUUCCCAGGACCCACAUGGUGGUUCACAACAGUCUAUAACUUCAGAUCUAACACCUACUUCAGCCUCCUUGGGCACCAGCAAUGAAGAAAUCUCAGGCACCUGGUAGCUCCCCCUGUGGUGUUCUGCAUUCUUUUGAAACGAAGUGAAAGUGAGAAGCUUGGAGGAGGCCAAGUGGGAAACUGCUGCUGUUACCCCGUGAGAAAAGGCAAGGAGAAUAAACUGAAGAAUGAAGUUGGAGAAGGUUCAUGUUAAACAGCUCCAACAUAACUGUUCCCCGGAACCAAUAAAUAAAUAACAAUAAUUGUUCAUUAAGCUAAGUCAAUUGUGGCUGCAGAGAACAGAUUUUGUAAAGGCAGG